RNAcentral lists this ribosomal RNA (248 nucleotides) under uncultured bacterium. RNAcentral describes it as "partial 16S ribosomal RNA". It matches the Rfam family "Bacterial small subunit ribosomal RNA", at positions 15 to 236 of the family's 1533-position model. The record is from RNAcentral.
GAUCAUGGCUCAGGACGAACGCUGGCGGCGUGCUUAACACAUGCAAGUCGAACGAAAAGAGGGGAAGAGCUUGCUCUUUCCGGAAUUGAGUGGCAAACGGGUGAGUAACACGUAAACAACCUGCCUUCAGGAUGGGGACGAACAGACGGAAACGACUGCUAAUACCGAAUAAGUUCCAAGAGCCGCAUGGCCCAUGGAAGAAAAGGUGGCCUCUACCUGUAAGCUAUCGCCUGAAGAGGGGUUUGCGU